ACGAGUGGAAGAUGGUAUCUAGUCCUAACAGUCCUCCACCACGAAGUGCUCACCAAAUAGUCGCUUGGAAGAAUAACCUAUACAUGUUUGGUAACUUAACUUUGGCAAGGUUGGGAAUUCACUUCACCAAACCAAGAACGCUUUCAUCAUUACAAGUACUCUAAAGGGCACGGAGCAGGACGACUCCUGUACAGCCACAGCUUGGGAAGUCGCGUUGUACGAGCCAAUAUCCAUGGUGUUGUACCUUGUGUAUCUGCUGGCUCCUUCGCUGCCGUUGAAUGGAUCGAUGUCACCUCUCGGCUUUCUUUGUACUGUAUCUGCAUCUUGCUAUUUUUGUACCGUGUCGUGUUAAUGUGUUAUCAAGGAGAGUACUGCUCCCUCCGUUCCAUGUUU
Molecule: long non-coding RNA, 393 nt
Organism: Oryza brachyantha (malo sina)
Lineage: Eukaryota; Viridiplantae; Streptophyta; Magnoliopsida; Poales; Poaceae
Exons: 3
Source: RefSeq, a predicted model, not a curated record